RNAcentral lists this ribosomal RNA (558 nucleotides) under Pseudomonas sp. N4-2. RNAcentral describes it as "bacterial SSU rRNA". It matches the Rfam family "Bacterial small subunit ribosomal RNA", at positions 137 to 690 of the family's 1533-position model. Lineage: Bacteria; Pseudomonadati; Pseudomonadota; Gammaproteobacteria; Pseudomonadales; Pseudomonadaceae. The record is from RNAcentral.
UGGGGGAUAACGUUCGGAAACGAACGCUAAUACCGCAUACGUCCUACGGGAGAAAGCAGGGGACCUUCGGGCCUUGCGCUAUCAGAUGAGCCUAGGUCGGAUUAGCUAGUUGGUGAGGUAAUGGCUCACCAAGGCGACGAUCCGUAACUGGUCUGAGAGGAUGAUCAGUCACACUGGAACUGAGACACGGUCCAGACUCCUACGGGAGGCAGCAGUGGGGAAUAUUGGACAAUGGGCGAAAGCCUGAUCCAGCCAUGCCGCGUGUGUGAAGAAGGUCUUCGGAUUGUAAAGCACUUUAAGUUGGGAGGAAGGGCAUUAACCUAAUACGUUAGUGUUUUGACGUUACCGACAGAAUAAGCACCGGCUAACUCUGUGCCAGCAGCCGCGGUAAUACAGAGGGUGNAAGCGUUAAUCGNAAUUACUGGGCGUAAAGCGCGCGNAGGUGGUUUGUUAAGUUGGAUGUGAAAUCCCCGGGCUCAACCUGGGAACUGCAUUCAAAACUGACUGACUANAGUAUGGUAGAGGGUGGUGGAAUUUCCUGUGUAGCGGNGAAAUGCU